CUUUCUUUGCUGGCGACCGGCGCACGGGUGAGUAACACGUAUCCAACCUGCCGAUGACUCGGGGAUAGCCUUUCGAAAGAAAGAUUAAUACCCGAUGGCAUAGUUCUUCCGCAUGGUGGAACUAUUAAAGAAUUUCGGUCAUCGAUGGGGAUGCGUUCCAUUAGGUUGUUGGCGGGGUAACGGCCCACCAAGCCUUCGAUGGAUAGGGGUUCUGAGAGGAAGGUCCCCCACAUUGGAACUGAGACGCGGUCCAAACUCCUACGGGAGGCAGCAUG
This 275-nucleotide ribosomal RNA is filed under the name uncultured bacterium. RNAcentral describes it as "partial 16S ribosomal RNA". It matches the Rfam family "Bacterial small subunit ribosomal RNA", at positions 79 to 353 of the family's 1533-position model. The record is from RNAcentral.